GCUGCCGAAGCGGCGUCCUCCAGAACCGCGCGGCGCUGCGGUCGGAGCGCGCAGCAACCCGGGUGGAGGGCCGGGACCGAGGGGCGCUCCCGCGGUCACAGCCAUGCUCUCCCGUACGGGGGCCAGUGAACGCGCGCCAGUCUAGGCGUUGUGCUGCCCGCAAAGUGUCUCAUUGGGAAUAACCCUGGUGCUUCGUAUGGAGACCACGGUGCUGCAGAGAGCGUGCUUCCAGAUCCAGAGGCUCAGCUGCGGCGACAGAAGAGGCCCACAUGCUGGACCACUUAGUGCUGAAGAAGGAGGCUCUGGGUCCAAACUGAGUCACAUCCCCACCCUGCCAGGGAUGAGCUGUGUGACCUUGACGUCUAUGAAACAUAAAACGGGAUAGGAGGCCCUGGUCCUCAGCACCAUCAUCUGCUGGGAAUUGCUGGUCAGCUUCAAGCAGUGGGGAGCCCUUUCCCCUGUGUCUCACUGCACAGUUCCUCUAACUCUGGUCCAGCUUUUUCUGGCUUCAACUUGUCCUGAGCUUCCUUCUCCUCUAAACGUCCCAUUUUCCAUUCCGAACGGAGCUGGUUUCCCACUCCCUUCUCCCUGUACCCAGGAGGGAGACACACGUGAUCUGAGCUUCCGUUUGUGUCUUGCGGGCAGCUGGAUCUGCCUGAGUCUCCGUGCCUAUGGACGCCUGCCGUGGGUGGACAGGACAGCCACUUUCAACAUUGUUCUUCAGACGUACUCACCACUGUGAUUAUACAAGCUACGUAUGCGCACGGUGACCCAGGUACUGGUGGAAUUCAGAAUCUUCGUGAAGGGAAACUUACAGGUUUUGCACAGCAAAGGAAACUGUAAACAAAAUGAAACGACAACCUACAGACUGGGAGAAAAUAUUUGCAAACGAUGCGACCAUCAAGGGCUUAAUUUCCAAAACAUACCAACAGCUCAUAGAACUCCAUAAUUAAAAAAAAAACAAAACCCAAUCGAAAAAAGGGCAGAAGACCUAAAUAGACAUUUCUCCAAAGGAGUCAUACAGACGGCCAAGAGGCACAUGAAAGGAUGCUCAACAUCACUGAUCGUUAGAGAAACGCAAAUCAAAAGUACAAUGAGGUACCACCUCACACCGGUCAGAAAGGCCAUCAGCAAAAAGUCUACAAGUAAUAAAUGCCAGAGAGGGCGUGGAGAGAAGGGAGCCCUUGUGCACCGUUGGUGGGAAUGUAAAGUGGUGCAGCCACGGUGGAGAACAGUAUGGCGGUUCCUCAAAGAACUAAAAAUAGAGUCACCAUAUGAUCCAGCAAUCUCACCGCUGGGCGUAUAUCCACAGAAAACUCUAAUUUGAAAAGAUACAUGCACCCCAGUGUUCAUAGCAGAGCUAUUUACAAUAGCCAAGACAUGGAAGCAACCUAAAUGUCCAUUGACAGAUGAAUGGAUAAAGAAGAUGUGGUGUAUAUAUAUAUAUAUGUGUGUGUGUGUAUACACACACACACAAACACACAAUGAAAUGUUAGCCAUAAAAAAGAAUGAAAUAAUGCCAUUUGCAGCAACGUGGAUGGACAUAGAGAUUAUCAUACAAGUAAGUCAGAGAGAGACAAAUAUCAUAUGAUAGCCCACUUAAACGUGGAAUCUAAAAUAUGACACAAGUGAACUUACCUAUGAAACAGAAACAGACAUAGAAAACAAAGUUAUGGUUGCCAAAGGGGAAGGGUAGGAGGAGGGAUAAAUAAGGAGUUUGGGAUUAGCAGACCCAAACUACUAUAUAAAAAACAGAUAAACAACAAGGACCUACUGUACAGCACAGGGAAAUAUAUUCAAUAUCCUGAAAAAAAGGAAAAAAAAACCUUUGUGAAGGGAAGAAUAGCCAACGUCAUGUGAAUAAUGAAGUGUCAGCCGUUUAAAAAUCUCAAACAAGUGCCGUUUUACAAGAAAAAUAAUAAAUGUAGUGUGUUAGGGUUCCCCACAGAAGCGUCACCAAUAAUCAGCAGGGUAACAGGGUGUGUGUGUGUGUGUCUGCGUAUCUAUAUAUCUGUUGUAUAUUGAGAGAGAGGGAAAUAUUUAUUUUAAGGAAUUAUUUUACACAGUUAUGGGGGCUGGUAAAUCCAAAAUCUGUAGGGUGGGCGGGCAGACUGGGGACUCAGGGAAGAGUUGCAGUUUGAGCGCAAAGUCCGUUUUUGGCAGAAUUCCUUCUUCUUUGGGGGACGUCAGUCUGUUUUGUCUUCAGCUGAUUGGAUGAGACCACCCCCCAAUACAGAGGGCAACCUGUUUUAGUCAAAGUCUACCGAUUCAAUAUGAAUCUCGCCUAAAAAAUUACCUUCACAGAAACAUCUAAAAUCAUGUUUGACCAAAAUCUGGGUACUGCAGCCCAGCCAAUUUGACACAUAAAGUUAACCAUCACAUAUGACUCAUCUAGUUUUUAAUUUAGUUUUAUGUUUUGAAAAUGAGUUAAGGUCUUGUAAACCUCCCAGUUAAAAUGAACAAUGCAAGAAUGCGAAUAGAGAAGCCUCACCAUUGAAGAGAAUGACACGUGGGUUUCUCAGACCUUGGACGCGACGUCUGUGCAGGACGGAUGCGCGGCCGUAACUGCGUCAUCAACAGACGCUCCGCUUUAUUCCCGCCUGUGUACAAAUGAUCAGGCAUAUAUGCCACUCACGCCCUCUUCACUUACCUUUGCGUUUUCCGUUAUUGCUUUGUUCUCUGAUGAGGAUGAAAAUACAAUGGAAUUAAUGAUAGUCAAUGACAACAUGGCAAUUCAUAAGCAUGGCAAUGGCCUGGAGUACCACAAGUGUCAAUGACGGGCCGGUGCACUGGACACAUCUGUCACAGGCUGGCUGGAUGCCUGACGGACGUGAAUCAGGAAGUGCUGGGGGCUGUUGAAUCAUUCCUGGGCGCGGGAGCCAUCCUGUGAACUGUAGAAGGUUGAGCAGAAUCCCUGGCCCCGCACCCAUGAGAUGUCAUUAGCCCUAAAUCCAUCUGCCUGGUUGCCAGCCCGCUCCGCUGCACCCCUUUUGCAGGCCCCGGCUUGGUUCUCUGGUCCUCCGACUGCAUCUUUCCUCAAACCCAAGUGGGUGCAUCCGCUGACAUUGUCAGGUGAAGGCCUGUAUCUACCACGCAAGGAAACCUACCUUGAUUUCCCAGCAUGCACACGACUUCACGCAGUCACUCUCCAUUUAAAAAAGUCACAUUUCCCAUGAGCUGCUGAUUCGUGCGUUCAGAGUGCAUCUCCUGGACUUCUGCGUGCUCUGGGAAGCUGCCCACCCAGACCAUGGCAGGGCUCGUGCCUCCAGAAUGGGUUUCAAAAGCACCAUCGACAGGUGACUAACCCCUUCUUAGCAUAUGUGUAUGCGGUUCCAGAGGUCCAGCCACGCCCUUCCCGUCUAGAGCCUUAAGGUGGCCUUGCUACAGGGCUCCUGUGACCUUCACUGCCAGAAGAACUUGGUUCGGGCCAGCUGAAAUCGGCCACCCCUGAGGGCCCAGCACCAGGCCGGCUUCAGGUUCAGAGGAUUCUAAACGCAACAGCUGCAUGGUCCACACUUUCUUUCCCCCUCAGGAGAGCAUGUGAACACAGAAUUGGAGAGGCACUUUACUGAACCAUCUCUACAGCGUCCACGAGAGGACUUCAUGUGCUCACAAAUGACCCACGUGCCCAGGGACUGGGAUCUUUACCCCGAGGAGCCUUCCCAGAUUGGCCGCAUGUGUCCUACAGAACCUCAGGGAUGCUCAGGGCAUCCUAAAGGUGACAUGAAGGAAAAUGAUUAGAAUUGACAGGUUGAGAUGCCUCCCACCCCACCACUCAUUAGCAGCCGGAAUAAGAAAAUGCAGCUUCCGUUUCUAAAAAUGGGCUGAGCAGACUCCAGACAAGAGAUACAGACCCCAAAUGAACACGUGAAGAGCUGCUCAACAUCAUUAGUCAUUAGGGAAACGAACCUUAACAUCAUAAUGAGAUGCCCUACACACCUAUUGGAAUGGGUAACAUUUUAAAGGCCCGCAGUAUCAGGUGUCAGCAAGGCUGUGGGGGUAUGGGACUCCCACACAGCGGGUGGGAAUGUGCAGUGUUCCAGCCCCUUUGGAAGACAGUUUAGCAGCUUCUUCUGCAGUUAAACAUAUGCUGUCCCCCGUGAGCCAUCUGUGUCACUCCCAGGUGUUUACCCACGAGAGGAGAAAACAUCUAGCAACUUUAUCACCCAAACUGGAAAUAACCCACAUGGCCAUCACCUGGCACUUGAUAAAGCAGUAGUGUCACCUCCAUACAACGGAACACUCCCUCCUCAGCAGUAAACGGUUACCGAGACAGGAACAUGACGACCUCAAAAGCAUUGUGCUACGUGAAAGAAACCAGAUGCUAAAAGCUACGUACUGUAUGGUUCUAUUUAUGCGACAUUCUGGAAAAGGCAAAAAUAUAGGAACGUAAGUCAGGAGUGCUGAGGCGGGGAGGUGAUUGACAGGGAAGGGACAGGAGGGAACUUCUUGGGGUGAUGGGAAAGCUCUAUAUCUUGACGGAGAAGAGCUGUACACCUGCAAGUGAUGAACGCUUUUAUUGAGAUAUAAUUGAUAUAUAACAUCGUAUUAGUUUCAGGUGUACAACAUAAUGGUUUGAUAUAGAUAUAUAUCACUAAGUGAGUAAAUUUUAUCAUAUGUACGUUUUACCUCGAUAAAAUCCAUCUUAAAGAGAAAAACAUAAAAAAUGCCAAACAAGCUCUCCUUCGAAAGUGUGAAGACUCAAGGUCACAGGGUCCUGACGUCUUUUGAAAUCGUGCCGUUGAAGGGGGGCACGUUUUGCCGCCCCAAAAUAUGCCACUUUCUCGUGAUUAUUUUGGGCUAAAUGCAAUCAAACCCCCAGCAGAUUCAGGAAAAUUUCUAUACUCCCCCUCUGCCUGCUUACAUUGCAGAGGGGGAAGGUACCAGGAAGAGAGCGCUCACCAGGGAUGCCUUUUUACCUGAGAAACUUACCUGCAUAACAGGGCAACCUUUGUUUUCCGAACAUCUCCUCUGCCUUCCUUGUGGAGGCCCCUCCUCCCCUUCGUGGCCCCAGACCCCAGCCCUUUCCUUAGCUCAAGACGUUAUACAAGCUUCAGUUACCUGGCUGCCCAUACGUAAGUCAUUUUCUUUGCUUAUUUCUCCCGUGAAUCUCUCUUGUGUGGAUUUAAUGAUCAGACCAGCCAAAGAACCUAGAAGGGCAGAAGGGCAAACUUUCUUGCCCUGUACUCUACUCCCCUGAGAAGCCUAGAGGAAGACAGAGUUUCAGAGCAAUCUUUCCUGACUCUUUUCGUUUCUGGGUUUUAGGUUUGGGGCAUGAGCCCCCGAUCUGUUUAAACAGAAGACGUAGGAAGGUUUUCUGGGACUGUGCUGGCGUCCGUCACACAAGGAUUCUUCCUCCGACUCUGCUGAACCUUCAGUACAGACACUUAAUUUUUCCAUAAACAAGGAUGUUAGGAGAGGAUAUCUUUGGCAAGCGUUGCUUCGGGAGACUUGUCUCCUUUGGAUAUUUCUAUACACAGAAAUGUGAAUGGUGAGAUCACUCGUUUGGGCGAAUACUUUUGAACCGAAGAGUCAAAACCAAUGCUAUGAUGUUUAUAUACCGUGCAGGGAAACAUUAGCUGGAAACUGCAUCUGUUGGGAGCCCACGUUCAACCCUGAACCUGAGAAUGGGGAAAGAGACAUGGUGGUGACUGUGCUGGGCGGGGCUCUGUCUUCCUCCGCCAAGCCUUUGUCCACUGGCUUCUGUCUGCCCCAGGCUGGCCGCACGUGGGAAGAGAUGCCCAUCCCUUGGUUCCCCGGCACGGCUUACGAGCGGGCCAAGCAGCGGGCGCUGAAGGUCAGCCUGGGAGCCUCGGGCCUGUUCUCGGUAGAGCUCAGGUUGUGGGCCUGCCCUCCUGUACUGGCCCAGACCCCGCUCCUGCCGCCUUUGGGAUUUUUCCUUGGGAGGUGCAGCCAGGCUGUCCUCCUGGGUCAGGUCAGGAGAUGCUGUCCUGGGGCUGGUCGUCCACCUCUGUCUGAGGGCUUGAGCAAGUCGAGUCCGGGCAGAAGUGGCAGGUCUCAGCCCGGCCUCCAGACCUCAGCUGUGACCUCUGGACCAGCUUCCUCCAGACGCCUGCACGUGGGGACCCAAGGCAGUGGCGCCUUUCCUGGAUGCGAAUACAGUGAUACGCGGCGUCUGGCCACUGUUCCUUGCGCACAGUUCCUGCCUAUGUGGGCGUUCCUGGGUUCCUGUCCACACAGCCCCUCCACAGCCCACGGCCUCACCCCGAGGGCCCCAUGCUGGGGGAGGCCCGAGAUGGAGAGUUUGCAGGGGAGACCUGGGCCUCUGAGAAGCUGAUCUGCUGCUGCAGGCCCUUGAGAGCACACGGUCCUGGGCCACGGUCCAUCCGGGGUUGCAUGAAGGUGGCCUCUCCAGGUUGUCAACUGGGUGUCCUACGGGUUCAGCCGCUGCUACUUUUUAAAAAAAAUUUAAAGACAUUUGGGGAAUUCCCUGGUGACCCAGCGGUUAGGGCUCCGCGCCUUCAUUGAUGAGGGCUCGGGUUCAAUCCCUGGUCAGGGAACUAAGGUCCCACGAGCCACGUGGCAUGGCCAAAAGUAAAUAAAUAAAUUAAAAAUAAAUAAAUAACUAAGAGAUUUUUCUGGAAUGGUUUUAAGCUCACAGCGAUAUUGAGAGAUUUCCCAUAUACCCCCUUUCCCCACACAGGCACAGCCUCCUCCAUUCCUGCCACCCUCCACCAGAUAGUACAUUUGUCACCACCGAUGAGCCUGUAUUGACACAUCAUUAUCAUCCGAAGUUCAUGGUUUACGUUAGGGGUCCCUCAGUGUUGUACAUUCCAUGGGUGAGGACACGUGUGGGAGGACAUGUAUCCGCCCUAACAGUAUUGUACUGAGUAGUGUCACCACCCUGCAAAUGCUCUGAGCUCUCCCUGUUCACCCCUCUCUCCUCCCCAGCCCCUGGCAACUUCUGAUCUCUUUUUAAAAGAGCACCUUAGCUGGAAAUCACUUGAAAUUGACAGAAAAUUGCAAGUAUGGGAAGAGUACAAAGAAUGUCCAUCUACCUUUGACCCCGUUUGCUUGAACCUUUGCUCUCCCCCUUUACAUACAUACAUAGAUAUGGAGCUGAAUCGUGUGAGAGUAAGUUACAUGCAUCACGAGCCUUACUCCAGAAUAUGCCCUCACGUAAGCACCGGGUCAGAUGCUCAGUGAGAGUUCACUGGGAAGCUCUUCUCCCACCGGAAGACAUGCCCUCUCCUUCUCCAUUCUGCCUUUCUUCCAGAAACCUUUUCCUACCCCCACCUACCUUUUCUGGGGUCUGCUCGAGUUCCCUGUUCUGUGCCUCUGACGUCUUGCUAUCAGAUGGCCCACCCUCAGCCUGUAGUCCUGCAGAACUGCCCUGUACAGUUGUGCAGUCUGUGCACUGCAUAAAGGCUCCAGGUGAAGGGGGCCACCUUCACUCUGCUCGUGGGCUGGAUGCCCAUGGAGUUGCAUCUGCCCUGAGCAGUGGCUUUUUAAAAUCCACACAAAAGCAUCACAUAGGCCAGGAGAGGUAGGUAACAAAAGUGUUCUAGAAGGUGGAAGUGAUCCACAGUGUCCAAUGCUGCUUGCAGAGUCAAGAAAGAGGCCAACUGGAAAACAGUAUGGAGGUUUCUCAAAAACUGAAAAUAGAACUAUCAUAUGACCCAGCAAUUCCACUCCUGAGUAUAUAUCCGAAAAAAAAAACCCCAAAACCCCAAAACACUAAUUCGAAAAAUACAUGCACCUUGACGUUCAUAACAUUAUUUAUAAUUGCCAAGAUAUGGAAGCAACCUAAAUGUCCAUUGACAGAUGAGUGGAUAAAGAAGAUGGAAUACUACUCAGCCAUAAAAAAGGAUGAAAAUUUGCCAUUUGUAGCAACAUGGAUAGACUUGGAGGGCAUUAUGCUAAGUGAAAUAAAUCAGAAAGAGAAAGACAAAUACUGUAUGUUAUCACUUACAUGUCGACUCUAAAAAAUUCAACAAACUGGUGAAUAUAACAAAAAAGAAGCAGACUUACAGAGGUAGAGAACAAACGAGUGGGGAGGAGGGGGAGGGGCAAUAUGGGGGGAGGGGAGGGACAAAUUUGGAGUGUAAGACAGGAUCAAGGAUGUAGUGUACAACAUGGGGAAUAGAGCCAAUGUUUUUUAGUAACUCUAAGUGGAAAGUAACCUUUAAAAAUUGUAUAUAAAAUUUUUUUAAUUAAAAAAAAGAAAGAGGCCGAUCGAGGAUUGAGCUCUGCAUUGAGCAACAGUGACAUCACUGGUGACCUUGAGAUUUGCUUGGGGGGAGUAGUAGAGGUGACAGCCUGAUUAAAGUUGGUUCAAGAAUGCAGGCAAGGAAUUAGGACAGCAAGAGUGUGUGUGUGUGUGUGUGUGUGUGUGUGUGUGUGUGUGUGUGUGUUGAGCGGGGCUGGGGAACAGAGGAAGCAGCGUGGUGUCCAGACAGCAUGUGAAGGUCAAGGGUUCUGUGGUUUGACAUAUGGGAAAGAGUCUAACUGCUGGGUGAUUAGUUUUAAAUGAAACAAUACCCGAGAAAGCACUUAGGACCGUGCUUGGCACAUAUAGAGGUUCAAUCAGUGUGAGCUGUGAUCGUUGUAACCACACUGGCAGAAACGUUGGCGGCUUCCUGGUUGCAUCGGGGAACUCGGAGCCCUGAGCAUCCCUCCU
Molecule: long non-coding RNA, 8641 nt
Organism: Orcinus orca (killer whale)
Lineage: Eukaryota; Metazoa; Chordata; Mammalia; Artiodactyla; Delphinidae
Exons: 3
Source: RefSeq, a predicted model, not a curated record